GCUGGGCACAGUGGCGCGUGCCUGUAGUCCCAGCUACUCAGGAGGCUAAGGUUGGAGGAUCACUUGAGUCCAGGAGUUCUGGGCUGUAGUGUGCUAUGUGGAUCAGGUGUUUGCACUAAGGUUGGCAUCAAUAUGGUGACCUCCCAGGAGCGGGGGACCACCAGGUUGCCUAAGGAGGGGUGAACCGGCCCAGGUCGGAAACAGAGCAGGUCAAAACUCCCAUGCUGACCAGUAGUGGGAUCACGCCUGUGAAUAGCCACUGCACUCCAGCCUGGGCAACAUAGCGAGACCCCAUCUCU
Molecule: signal recognition particle RNA, 299 nt
Filed under: Aotus nancymaae (Ma's night monkey)
Lineage: Eukaryota; Metazoa; Chordata; Mammalia; Primates; Aotidae
Description: Metazoan signal recognition particle RNA (ENSANAG00000007200.1)
Rfam family: Metazoan signal recognition particle RNA
About the family: The signal recognition particle (SRP) is a universally conserved ribonucleoprotein.
Source: RNAcentral